RNAcentral lists this ribosomal RNA (491 nucleotides) under uncultured Glomus. RNAcentral's name for it is "SSU rRNA". It matches the Rfam family "Eukaryotic small subunit ribosomal RNA", at positions 536 to 1035 of the family's 1831-position model. The record is from RNAcentral. Lineage: Eukaryota; Fungi; Glomeromycota; Glomeromycetes; Glomerales; Glomeraceae.
CACGGGGGUUGGAGGGCAAGUUUGGUGCCAGCAGCCGCGGUAAUUCCAGCUCCAAUAGCGUAUAUUAAAGUUGUUGCAGUUAAAAAGCUCGUAGUUGAAUUUCGGGGUUAGUAGGUUGGUCAUGCCUCUGGUAUGUACUGGUCUCACUGAUUCCUCCUUCCUUAUGAACCGUAAUGCCAUUAAUUUGGUGUUGCGGGGAAUUUGGACUGUUACUUUGAAAAAAUUAGAGUGUUUAAAGCAAGCUAACGCUUGAAUACAUUAGCAUGGAAUAAUGAAAUAGGACGUUCGAUCUUAUUUUGUUGGUUUCUAGGAUUGACGUAAUGAUUAAUAGGGAUAGUUGGGGGCAUUAGUAUUCAAUUGUCAGAGGUGAAAUUCUUGGAUUUAUUGAAGACUAACUACUGCGAAAGCAUUUGCCAAGGAUGUUUUCAUUAAUCAAGAACGAAAGUUAGGGGAUCGAAGACGAUCAGAUACCGUCGUAGUCUUAACCAUAA